CAACCUGAACUCAGUCGUGAUUACCCGCUGAACUUAAGCAUAUCAUUUAGCGGAGGAAAAGAAACUAAAAAGGAUUCCCCUAGUAACGGCGAGUGAAACGGGAAGAGCCCAGCGCCGAAUCGAUCAGUCUUUGGCUGCUUACGAAAUGUGGCGUAUAGGUGUAGUCUUCCAGCAGUGUCGUAUGUCCGAAGUCCUUGCGAUUGAGGCCAUAAACCAGAGAGGGUGCGAGCCCCGUUCUGGAUAGCGGCGCUGUUGGUUCGACUGCUCCUUGGAGUCGGGUUGCUUGAAAGUGCAGCCUAAAGUGGGUGAUAAACUUCAUCUAAGGCUAAAUAUUGACUCGAUUGCGAUAGCGAACAAGUACCGUGAGGGAAAGUUGCAAAGGACUUUGAAGAGAGAGUUCAAGAGAACGUGAAAUCGCUGGAGUGGAACCGGAGACAGUUGAUGUUGCUUGGAGCAAUCUUGGUGGCUGAUCGCUUAGCUGUGAUCGCCGCCGGGAGUCGUUUCCUAUGCUACGCCGACGGCGUUGGCCGCUCGUUCUGGCCCGACAGUGUUGCCCAUCUCGCAAGAGACGGUGUCUUGUUGUCGGUCGUUGGUUCGUGGUGGCUAGCGUUUAGUUACGCUAGUGUGUGUGACGUCGGUGUGAAAGUCGACGACGUUUCCGACCCGUCUUGAAACACGGAUUACGGAGUGUUUGUCUGCUGCGAGUCAAAGGGUGUAAAAACCUUGCGGCGCAAUGAAAGUGAAGGUUAGUCUCGAACUGACCGACGUGGGAUCCGUGCUCUUCGGAGUGCGGCGCACCACGGCCCUAUGCGUGUCACUUGUGACUGUGUAGAGGUUGAGCAGUAGGCAAGCGACCCGAAAGAUGGUGAACUAUGCCUGAGCAGGAUGAAGCCAGAGGAAACUCUGGUGGAAGUCCGUAUCGGUUCUGACGUGCAAAUCGAUCGAUAGAC
This 950-nucleotide non-coding RNA is filed under the name Caenorhabditis japonica. RNAcentral's name for it is "Eukaryotic large subunit ribosomal RNA". It matches the Rfam family "Eukaryotic large subunit ribosomal RNA", at positions 1 to 910 of the family's 3401-position model. Lineage: Eukaryota; Metazoa; Nematoda; Chromadorea; Rhabditida; Rhabditidae. The record is from Rfam by way of RNAcentral.